UUCUUGGCCCUGGGAAAGCCCGCGGGGGGCCGUGGGGUGGGGUUGCCUGGGGCGCAGGGGGGAUGUUGGAGAGGGAGGGGUCCCAGCCCUCUGGGUGGGGACACGGGGCCCCCAGCCAGCAUUUGUGCACUGGCUACUUCCCCAGCGCUAGGCCCCGGAAGGAAGCGGAUACUUGAAGCUGCGCUGGGCCUCAAUUCUCCAUCUGUGCAGUGGGCUGCUAGCAGGAGAGUGAGGUUUUAUGGGGCUGGGGAAUCGAACCCAGGGCCUCCUGCCUGCUAGGCAAGCACUGUACCACCCUGCGUACCACCCAGCCUGUAGCAGCUAUCAGAUGCUGCCCACCUCUGCACUGGGGAUUGGACCCAGGGCCUUUGCCCUGAGCUACAUCCCCAGCUCUUGUUUAUUUCAACAAAGGUCACACUGAGUCACUAACUUGCCCAGGCUGGACUCUACCUUCUCACUCUCCUGCCUCAGCCUCCCAGAGUGCUGGGAUUACAGGUGUGGGGCACUUGUUGAGGAAAAGUCACUUCCUUCUGCCUCCUGCAGGCAAAUGUUGAUUGAGCACCUAUUACCUGCUGGCAUUGUGUUGGGCCUCGAGGUUAAAGCGGUGACUGAGAGAAAAGUCUGAGAAGACGAGGCUUCAGAGACGAGACUCCAGAGCCAAAUCAAGAGGAAAAACCCAUCUGGGAGAAUCGGGUAGAGCCGCGGGACACAGAGAUCUCCAAGACACGCUGGGCGAAGACAGACAGUGGAUGUCCCUCGAGACCGGACUGCUAGAUGGAACAAAUCAGACCCAGAAGGUUGAACAUCACAUGGAGACAGGAGCUCCCGGGUCUGCCUGCUGACGGCCGCCUCCUCCGGACUCCAGGGGAGCUGCCGAGGACAGGAAGGAAGGGGCUGCAGUCAAGGGAGAGUCGCUGCCGGAAGUCACGGGGCCUCUCUGAUCCGCAGAGCCCCCUAAGGCUCAACACAGAGCCUGGACACGGAGAUGGAGAGGGACUCACUUCACAGUCGGGAGGAAGAUCAUGUGAGAAAACGCGUAUACCAGGCCGGGCGUGGUGCCCAGCACUCAGGAGGCUGAAGCAGGAGGAUUGCUGUGAAGUCGCGGCCUAGACUACGUGGCCAGACGCUGUCUCAGAAACAGCCAGGUUUCUGUAAAUGUCUUUGUAAGUGACAUCAUGCAACAGUGUCACUAUUAAUUCUUUUCUUUCAUCUUCCCUGCCUCACCUCUGAGUCCCUGCCCAUCCUGUCCUCCACUACCUCUCCUGUCCUCCUGUCACACUUUAACAGAGUGUUUCUUACAGGUGGGCGACCCUAUUUGAAAUAUCUCAAUUUGUCUUCCCCAAAACUUUAUGAGAUGAAUUCUCUGUUUAUUUUCAUUUCCCAGGGAAGGAAACAAGUACAGAGAGGCCAAGACACCGGCCCAAAGCAAAUGGCUUAUACGUAUGGUACACAUUUGAGACUCAAAUCCAAAUAUUCUGAUGUUAAAGUCAUCAGAACUUCUAACUACAGCUGUAUCCCGAUUCCCCUUUGCCUAUCAAAACCUCCCAACCAAUCCGGCCAGCAGGGAAUCAAGGCAGAUAUUCUCUGGCUCCUCUACCUGGGGAACAGAUUUUUGUGACACAUCAGUCAUUUACACAUUAGUCUAAAUGACAGCCUACUUUCCAAAUUUCUUUCCUGACCUGUCUCUGUGCCCCAGAGCUGUUUGUAACUCCCCAGCUUAGCAUUUGCCACAGGCAUUGUAAUCAUCCUCUGUCCCCCGUGGAGAUAAACUUGUGGAUUGGAUCACCGAGGGUGGUAUUUAUUGGUUUCAGCAUCCCUGGAGAAUCACCCAGCUGACACUAGGCGAGAAGUGAUGAACAAAACUAAUGAAAUGAGUUAAUAAAACCUGUCCCAGUGAACGGCAUGCACAAGAAUAAACCUUGGCCAUUUCCCUGUUAGUGAGACGACAGCGCUAGGGUACUUGGAGUGAGGACCAGCUGGCCAGAAAGAACCGGUCAUAGAGACCCAAGGCCCCUUCCGCUCCCAGGAACCUCCCCCAGCACCGCCUGUGCGUCCUUCCUCCUCCCUGAAGUCCUCAGGGACACCCACCUCCUAACCGUCC
Molecule: long non-coding RNA, 2101 nt
Filed under: Fukomys damarensis (Damara mole-rat)
Lineage: Eukaryota; Metazoa; Chordata; Mammalia; Rodentia; Bathyergidae
Description: lncRNA (ENSFDAG00000032178.1)
Source: RNAcentral